GAGUUUGAUCCUGGCUCAGGAUGUACGCUGGCGGCGUGCUUACACAUGCAAGUCGAACGAACCUUCGGGUUGGUGGCGGACGGGUGAGUAACGCGUGAGAAUCUGCCCUCAGGAGGGGGAUAACGGUUGGAAACGACCGCUAAUACCCCAUAUGCCUAUUGGUGAAAUGAAUUUCGCCUGAGGAUGAGCUCGCGUCUGAUUAGCUUGUUGGUGAGGUAAUGGCUCACCAAGGCUUCGAUCAGUAGCUGGUCUGAGAGGAUGAUCAGCCACACUGGGACUGAGACACGGCCCAGACUCCUACGGGAGGCAGCAGUGGGGAAUUUUCCGCAAUGGGCGAAAGCCUGACGGAGCAACGCCGCGUGAGGGACGAAGGCCUCUGGGCUGUAAACCUCUUUUCUCAAGGAAGAAGAUAUGACGGUACUUGAGGAAUAAGCCACGGCUAAUUCCGUGCCAGCAGCCGCGGUAAUACGGGAGUGGCAAGCGUUAUCCGGAAUUAUUGGGCGUGAAGCGUCCGCAGGCGGCUUUUCAAGUCUGCUGUUAAAACGUGGAGCUUAACUCCAUCAUGGCAGUGGAAACUGAAAGGCUUGAGUAUGGUAGGGGCAGAGGGAAUUCCCGGUGUAGCGGUGAAAUGCAUAGAUAUCGGGAAGAACACCAGUGGCGAAGGCGCUCUGCUGGGCCAUUACUGACGCUCAUGGACGAAAGCCAGGGGAGCGAAAGGGAUUAGAUACCCCUGUAGUCCUGGCCG
This 745-nucleotide ribosomal RNA is filed under the name uncultured bacterium. RNAcentral describes it as "bacterial SSU rRNA". It matches the Rfam family "Bacterial small subunit ribosomal RNA", at positions 9 to 802 of the family's 1533-position model. The record is from RNAcentral.